Balaenoptera acutorostrata (minke whale) is the source of this 6177-nucleotide long non-coding RNA. RefSeq lists it as uncharacterized. The record is from RefSeq and is a predicted model, not a curated record. The transcript has 4 exons. Lineage: Eukaryota; Metazoa; Chordata; Mammalia; Artiodactyla; Balaenopteridae.
GGAAAAGACAUCCAGACACAGAGGAGCAGGCCAUGUGAAGACAGAGACAGAUUGAGGUGAUGCAUCUACAAGCCAAGGAGCGCCCAGGAUUCCUGAGAGCAACCAGAAGCUAGGGGAGAGGCAGCCAGAUGGUGCAUGAACAGUGAAGAAUGGGUGGAUAUUUUAAGACAUCUUAACUAAGUUGCCUCGUCUAUCAGAAAUGUGUCCUCCCAACCUCAGUGUUAACAACUGAAGAGUGAAGAUCAGGCUGUGUAUUUCCUCUGCAGGCCCUGAAGCAUUAAAGUAUUCGAAAGUGAUGCAUUAAUUGAUUGAUGCUAUCAAAGCCAUGUGGCUGACGGGGUCUUAGUGCUGCAGCCUGGUGUCAGGCCUGAGCCUCUGAGGUGGGAGAGCCAAGUUCAGGACACUGGACCACCAGAGACCUCCUGGCCCCACGUAAUAUCAAUCAGCGAGACCUCUUCCACAGACAUCCAUAUCAACAGUAAGACCCAGCUCCACCCAAUGGCAAGCAAGCUCCAAUGCUGGACACCCUAUGCCAAACAACUAGCAAGACAGGAACACAACGCCACCCAUUAGCAGAGAGGCUGCCUAAAAUCAUAAGGUCACAGACACCCCAAAACACACCACCGGAUGUGGUCCUGCCCACCAGAAAGACAAGAUCCAGCCUCAUCCACCAGAACACAGGCCCCAGUCUCCUCCACGAGGAAGCCUACACAACCCACUGAACCAAACUCAGCCACUGGGGGCAGGCACGAAAACAACGGGAACUACGAACAUGCAGCCUGCAAAAAGGAGACCCCAAGUGCAAUAAGUUAAGCAAAAUGACAAGACAGAGAAACACACAGCAGAUGAAGGAGCAAGGUAAAAACCCACCAGACCAAAAAAAUGAAGAGGAAGUAGGCAGUCUACCUGAAAAAGAAUUCAGAGUAAUGAUAGUAAAGAUGAUCCAAAAUCUUGGAAAUAGAAUGGAGAAAAUACAAGAAACGUUUAACAAGGACCUAGAACAACUAAAGAGCAAACAAACAAUGAUGAACAACACAAUAAAUGAAAUUAUAAGUUCUCUAGAAGGAAUCAAUAGCAGAAUAACUGAGUCAGAAGAACGGAUAAGGGACCUGAAAGAGAAAAUAGUGGAAAAAACUACUGGAGAGCAGAAUAAAGAAAAAAAAUGAAGAGAAUUGAGGACGGUCUCAGAGACCUCUGGGGCAACAUCAAAUGCACCAACAUUUGAAUUAUAGGGGGUCCCAGAGGAAGAAGAGAAAAAGAAAGGGUCUGAGAAAAUAUUUGAAAGGUUAUGGUUGAAAACUUCCCUAACGAUGGAAAGGAAAUAGUCAAUCAACUCCAGGAAGUGCAGAGAGUACCAUACAGGAUAAAUCCAAGUAGACACAUGGCAAGACACCUGUUAAUCAAGCUAUCAAAAAUUAAAUACAAAGAAAAAUAUUAAAAGCAGUAAGGGAAAAACAACAAAUAAUAUACAAGGGAAUCCCCAUAAGGUUAACAGCUGAACUUUCAGCAGAAACUCUGCCAGCCAGAAGGGAGUGGCAAGACAUAUUUAAAGUGAUGAAAGGGAAAAACCUACAACCAAGAUUACUCUACCAAGCAAGAAUCUCAUUCAGAUUCCAUGGAGAAAUUAAAAGCUUUAUAGACAAGCAAAAGCUAAAAGAAUUCAGCACCACCAAACCAGCUUUACAAGAAAUGCUAAAGGAACUUCUCUAGGCAGGAAACACAAGAGAAGGAAGAGACCUACAAUAACAAACCCAAAACAAUUAAGAAAAUGAUAAUAGGAACAUAAAUAACGAUAGUUACCUUAAAUGUAAACGGAUUAAACGCUCCCACCAAAAGACAUAGACUGACUGAAUGGAUACAAAAACAAGACCCGUAUAUACGCUGUCUACAAGAGACCCACUUCAGACCUAGGGACACAUACAGACUGAAAGUGAGGGGAUGGAAAAAGAUAUUCCAUGCAAAUGGAAAUCAAAAGAAAGCUGCAGUAGCAAUUCUCAUAUCAGACAAAAUAGACUUUAAAAUAAGGACUAUUACAAGAGACAAAGAAGGACACUACACAAUGAUCAAGGGAUCAAUCCAAGAAGAAGAUAUAACAAUUGUAAAUAUUUAUGCACCCAACAUAGGAGCACCUCAAUACAUAAGGCAAAUGCUAACAGCCAUAGAAGGGGGAAUCGACAGUAACACAAUCAUACUAGGGGACUGUAAUGCCCCAAUUUCACCAAUGGACAGAUGAUCCAAAAUGAAAAUAAAUAAGGAAACACAAGCUUUAAAUGACACAUUAGACAAGAUGGACUUAAUUAAUAUUUAUAGGACAUUCCAUCCAAAAACAACAGAAUACACUUUCUUCUAAAGUGCUCAUGGAACAUUCUCCAGGAUAGAUCCUAUCUUGGGUCACAAAUCAAGCCUUGGUAAAUUUAAGAAAAUUGAAAUCGUAUCAAGUAUCUUUUCCGACCACAACGCCACAAGGCAAGAUAUCAAUUACAGGAAAAAACUGUAAAAAAUAGAAACACAUGGAGGCUAAGCAAUACGCUACUAAAUAACCGAGGGAUCACUGAAGAAAUGAAAGAGGAAAUCAAAAAAUACCUAUAAACAAAUGACAAUGAAAACACGACGACCCAAAACCUAUGGGAUGCAGCAAAAGCAGUUCUAAGAGGGAAGUUUAUAACAAUACAAUCCUACCUUAAGAAACAAGAAACAUCUCAAAUAAACAACCUAACCUUACACCUAAAGCAAUUAGACAAAGAGGAACAAAACCCCCAAAGUUAGCAGAAGGAAAGAAAUCAUAAAGAUCAGAUCAGAAAUAAAUGAAAAAGAAAUGAAGGAAACAAUAGCAAAGGUCAAUAAAACUAAAAGCUGGUUCUUUGAGAAGAUAAACAAAACUGAUAACCAUUAGCCAGAUUCAUCAAGAAAAAAAAGGGAGAAGACUCAAAUCAACAGAAUUAGAAAUGAAAAAGGAGGAGUAACAAUUGACACUGCAGAAAUACAAAGGAUCAUGAGAGAUUACUACAAGCAACUAUUUGCCAAUAAAAUGGACAAGCUGGAAGAAAUGGGCAAAUUCUUAGAAAAACACAACCUUCUGAGGCUGAACCAGGAAGAAACAGAAAAUAUAAACAGACCAAUCACAAGUACUGAACUUGAAACUGUGAUUAAAAAUCUUUCAACAGGGAUUCCCUGGUGGCGCAGUGGUUUAAAAUCUGCCUGGCAAUGCAAGGGACACAGGUUCAAGCCCUGGUCCAGGAGGAUCCCACAUGCUGCAGAGCAACUAAGCCCGUGCACCACAACUACUGAGCCUGCGCUGCAGAGCUCACGAGCCACAACUACUGAAGUCCGUGUACCACAGCUACUGAAGCUUGUGCACCCUAGAGCCCGUGCUCCGUAACAAUAGAAACCACCGCAAUGAGAAGCCCACGCACCACAACCAAGAGAGCCCCCACUCACUGCAACCAGAGAAAGCCCGUGUGCAGCAACAAAGACCCAACGCAGCCAAAAAUAAAAAUUAAUUAAUUAAUUAAUUUAUAAAAAUAUCAUUAAAAAUAAAUCUUGCAACAAACAAAAGCCCAGGACCAGAUGGCUUCACAGGCGAAUUCUAUCAAACAUUUAGAGAAGAGCUAACACCUAUCCUUCUCAAACUCUUCCAAAAUAUAACAGAGGGAGGGACACUCCCAAACUCAUUCUACGAGGCCACCAUCACCCUGAUACCAAAACCAGACAAAGAUGUCACAAAAAAAAAAAACUACAGGCCAAUAUCACUGAUGAACAUAGAUGCAAAAGUCCUCAACAAAAUACUAGCAAACAGAAUCCAACAGCACAUUAAAAGGAUCAUACACCAUGAUCAAGUGGGGUUUAUCCCAGGAAUGCAAGCAUUCUUCAGUAUACGCAGAUCAAUCAAUGAGCUACAUCACAUUAACAAAUUGAAGAAUAAAAACCAUAUGAUCAUCUCAACAGAUGCAGAAAAAGCUUUUGACAAAAUUCAACACCAAUUUAUGAUAAAAACUCUCUAGAAAGUGGGCAUAGAGGGAACCUACCUCAACAUAAUAAAGGCCAUAUAUGACAAAUCCACAGACAACAUCAUUCUCAAUGGUGAAAAACUGAAACCAUUUCCUCUAUGAUCAGAACAAGACAAGGUUGCCCACUCUCAGCACUACUGUUCAACAUAGUUUUGGAAGUUUUAGCCACAUCAAUCACAGAAGAAAAAGAAAUAAAAGGAAUCCAAAUCGGAAAAGAGGAAGUCAAACUGCCACUGUUUGCAGAUGACAUGAUACUAUACAUAGAGAAUCCUAAAGAUGUUACCAGAAAACUACUAGAGCUAAUCACUGAAUUUGGUAAAGUAUCAGGAUACAAAAGUAAUGCACAGAAAUCUCUUGCAUUCCUAUACACUAACGACAAAAAAUCUGAAAGAAAAAUUAAGGAAACGCCCAUUAACCAUUGCAACAGAAAGAAUAAAAUAGUUAGGGAUAAACCUACCUAAGGAGACAAAAGACCUGUAUGCAGAAAACCAUAAGACACUGAUGAAAGAAAUUAAAGAUAAUACAAACAGAUGGAGAGAUAUACAUGUUCUUUGACUGGAAGAAUCAACAUUGCGAAAAUGGCUAUACAACCCAAAGCAAUCUACAGAUUCAAUGCAAUCCCUAUCAAACUACCAAGGGCAUUCUUCACAGAACUAGAACAAAAAGUUGCACAAUUUGUAUGGAAACACAAUAGACCCCCAAUAGCUGAGGCAAUCUUGAGAAAGAACAAUGGAGCUGGAGGAAUCAGGCUCCCUGACGUCAGACUAUACUACCAGACUACAGUAAUCAAGACAGUAUGGUACUGGCACAAAAGCAGAAAUAUAGAUCAGUGGAACAGGAUAGAAAGCCCAGAGAUAAACCCACGCACAUAUGGGUUAUUUUUGAUAAAGGAGGCAAGAAUAUACAAUGGAGAAAAGACAGCCUCUUCAAUAAGUGGUGCUGGGAAAACUGCACAGGUACACGUAAAAGAAUGAAAUUAGAACACUCCCUAACACUAUACACAAAAAUAAACUCAAAAUGGAUUAAAGACCUAAAUGUAAGGCCAGACACCAUCAAACUCUUAGAGGAAAACAUAGGCAGAACACUCUAUGACAUAAAUCACAGCAAGAUCCUUUUUGACCCACCUCCUAGAGUAAUGGAAAUAAAAACAAAAAUAAACAAAUGGGACCUAAUGAAACUUAAAAGCUUUUGCACAGCAAAGGAAACCAUAAACAAGUCAAAAAGACAACCCUCAGAAUGGGAGAAAAUAUUUGCAAAUGAAGCAACUGACAAAGGAUCAAUCUCCAAAAUAUACAAGCAGCUUAUGCAGCUCAAUAUCAAAAAAACAAACAAACCAAUCCAAAAUGGGCAGAAGACCUAAGCAGACAUUUCUCCAGAGAUGAUAUACAGAUUGCCAACAAACACAUGAAAGGAUGCUCAACAUCACUAAUCAUUAGAGAAAUGUAACUUGAAACUACAAUGAGGUAAUACCUCACACCAGUCAGAAUGGCCAUCAUCGAAAAAUCUACAAACAAUAAAUGCUGGAGAGGGUGUGGAGAAAAGGGAACCCUCUUGCACUGUUGGUGGGAAUGUAAAUUGAUACAGCCACUAUGGAGAACAAUAUGGAGGUUCCUUGAAAAACUAAAAAUAGAACUAGCAUACAACCCAGCAAUCCCACUACUGGGCAUAUACCCUGAGAAAGCCAUAAUUCAAAAAGAGUCAUGUACCACAAUGUUCAUUGCAGCUCUAUUUUUACAAUAGGCAGGACAUGGAAGCAACCUAAGUGUCCAUUGACAGAUGAAUGGAUAAAGAAGAUGUGGCACAAAUAUACAAUGGAAUAUUACUCAGCCAUAAAAAGAAACGAAAUUGAGUUAUUUGUAGUGAGGUGGAUGGACAUAGAGUCUGUCAUACAGAGUGAAGUAAGUCAGAAAGAGAGAAACAAAUACUGUAUGCUAACACAUAUAUAUGGAAUCUAAAAAACAACAACAACAAAAAUGGUUAUAAAGAACCUAGGGGCAGGACAGGAAUAAAGACGCAGAUGUAAAGAAUGGACUUGAGGACAUGGAGAGGGGGAAGGGUAAGCUGGGACGAAGUGAGAGAGUGUCAUGGACAUAUAUACACUACCAAAUGUAAAAUAGAUAACUAGUGGGAAGCAGCCGCAUAGCACAGGGAGAUCAGCUCAGUGCUUUGU